RNAcentral lists this ribosomal RNA (424 nucleotides) under uncultured bacterium. RNAcentral's name for it is "bacterial SSU rRNA". It matches the Rfam family "Bacterial small subunit ribosomal RNA", at positions 354 to 777 of the family's 1533-position model. The record is from RNAcentral.
GUGGGGAAUAUUGCACAAUGGGCGCAAGCCUGAUGCAGCGACGCCGCGUGCGGGAUGGAGGCCUUCGGGUUGUAAACCGCUUUUGUUCAAGGGCAAGGCACGGUCUUUGGCCGUGUUGAGUGGAUUGUUCGAAUAAGCACCGGCUAACUACGUGCCAGCAGCCGCGGUAAUACGUAGGGUGCAAGCGUUAUCCGGAUUUAUUGGGCGUAAAGGGCUCGUAGGCGGUUCGUCGCGUCCGGUGUGAAAGUCCAUCGCUUAACGGUGGAUCCGCGCCGGGUACGGGCGGGCUUGAGUGCGGUAGGGGAGACUGGAAUUCCCGGUGUAACGGUGGAAUGUGUAGAUAUCGGGAAGAACACCAAUGGCGAAGGCAGGUCUCUGGGCCGUUACUGACGCUGAGGAGCGAAAGCGUGGGGAGCGAACAGGA